This 497-nucleotide ribosomal RNA is filed under the name uncultured bacterium. RNAcentral describes it as "partial 16S ribosomal RNA". It matches the Rfam family "Bacterial small subunit ribosomal RNA", at positions 28 to 507 of the family's 1533-position model. The record is from RNAcentral.
GAUGAACGCUGGCGGCGUGCCUAAUACAUGCAAGUCGAGCGAACAGACGAGGAGCUUGCUCCUCUGACGUUAGCGGCGGACGGGUGAGUAACACGUGGAUAACCUACCUAUAAGACUGGGAUAACUUCGGGAAACCGGAGCUAAUACCGGAUAAUAUAUUGAACCGCAUGGUUCAAUAGUGAAAGACGGUUUUGCUGUCACUUAUAGAUGGAUCCGCGCCGCAUUAGCUAGUUGGUAAGGUAACGGCUUACCAAGGAAACGAUGCGUAGCCGACCUGAGAGGGUGAUCGGCCACACUGGAACUGAGACACGGUCCAGACUCCUACGGGAGGCAGCAGUAGGGAAUCUUCCGCAAUGGGCGAAAGCUUGACGGAGCAACGCCGCGUGAGUGAUGAAGGUCUUCGGAUCGUAAAACUCUGUUAUUAGGGAAGAACAAAUGUGUAAGAAACUAUGCACGUCUUGACGGUACCUAAUCAGAAAGCCACGGCUAACUACGUG